Small nucleolar RNA from Salvia splendens (bonfire salvia), 108 nucleotides. RefSeq annotates it as small nucleolar RNA snoR97. NCBI's taxonomy places the organism in Eukaryota, Viridiplantae, Streptophyta, Magnoliopsida, Lamiales, Lamiaceae. The record is from RefSeq and is a predicted model, not a curated record. The transcript has a single exon.
UAUAAAUCAUGUGGGCUGAGUGUCUGAAAAACUCGUAAAUCAAAGGUGUUGUCAUCAGCUUCUCUCAGAUUUGCUACGAAACUGGAGUUAAGUAACAGCACUAGAUUA